AACGAACGCUGGCGGCAUGCCUAACACAUGCAAGUCGAACGAAACCAAGGCUUCGGCCUGAAGUUUAGUGGCGCACGGGUGCGUAACGCGUGGGAAUCUGCCCUUGGGUUCGGAAUAACUCAGAGAAAUUUGAGCUAAUACCGGAUGAUGACGUAAGUCCAAAGAUUUAUCGCCCAAGGAUGAGCCCGCGUAAGAUUAGCUUGUUGGUGAGGUAAAGGCUCACCAAGGCGACGAUCUUUAGCUGGUCUGAGAGGAUGAUCAGCCACACUGGGACUGAGACACGGCCCAGACUCCUACGGGAGGCAGCAGUGGGGAAUAUUGGACAAUGGGCGAAAGCCUGAUCCAGCAAUGCCGCGUGAGUGAUGAAGGCCUUAGGGUUGUAAAGCUCUUUUACCAGGGAUGAUAAUGACAGUACCUGGAGAAUAAGCUCCGGCUAACUCCGUG
RNAcentral lists this ribosomal RNA (444 nucleotides) under uncultured bacterium. RNAcentral's name for it is "bacterial SSU rRNA". It matches the Rfam family "Bacterial small subunit ribosomal RNA", at positions 29 to 507 of the family's 1533-position model. The record is from RNAcentral.